RNAcentral lists this long non-coding RNA (954 nucleotides) under Nicotiana benthamiana. RNAcentral's name for it is "long non-coding RNA (NBEN_LNC039469)". The record is from RNAcentral. Lineage: Eukaryota; Viridiplantae; Streptophyta; Magnoliopsida; Solanales; Solanaceae.
GGAGAGACCUUUUUUCCUCAUUACUUUCUUCCAUUCAAUUCGCCUUAAAUUCUUACUUACACUGUACGGUACAUUAAUUAAUUAUCAUUUUCCUAUUUAAGAUCCAUCUUUACAGGGGCGAAAAACACAACACAAAUCGUCAGUAACCAAAGAGAGAGUUUUGGAUGAUUUCCUUGGAAAGAGAAGUCGAGAUGGCGACAACAUUAGUCUCCAUUGCAUCUUGCCUAAUGUCUCUUAGAUAUGUGCAAGUUUCUAUACCCUUUUUCCUUAGCAAAUUACUAAUUUAUAACUUAUGUCUUUAUUGAUCUAUUUUUAUUUCAUCAAUGCAUCUAUUAAAAAAAAAUGCGAAAACCAAUAUUUAUCGCAUGGUCCUUUUUCUUUUAUAAUAUAUGUUGAUUUAUUUGGCUCUAAUAUCUUAUAAAUUUUCUUGCUUAAUCUAUUUUCGACAAGUGGCUACAACAAGACAAUGUCUGUGAUUGUGAGUUAUAUGCAUGGCUUUUUACGGGUUAUUUCCUAGAUUAUGUUGGUAGCUCUUAUUAGCCACUUUGGUAAAUAUUAGCUAUAAUUGUUGAUUUUUCAUUAUUUUUUUAAAGUGAAAAGAAAUAUAAUACUAUUAAAGGAAAAAUCGAUAAACGACUGAAAGAUGUACCUUCCAAGAAAUUGAGGUGAACAGUUAAAGGUACUGCAAAAUGUGUGACCUUCUAAAUUUGCUUCUAUAACUAUGCGUUGAUUCUGUAGAAGAUAAGUUUUUUCCUUUAACAGACUUUGUACUAAAUAAGUGUUGUAUGUCUGUAGCGUGAAUGGAUGCAAUUUAUUUAGUUUUGUGAACAAGUUAUAUUAAAAUUAUACUAUGGGGAUUAGAAGAUGAAAUAAAGCCAAUAGUGAUUUUCAUAUAUUUUUUUCUAGAAAGUCCUUGUAUGUACAUAUUUAUACAACCGGGGUGCUAUACUGGAC